CGUCUUAUGCCGUCGAUUUUCGUCGCUCUCCUCUCCCACACCUGUUUCCACCAGAAAAAACACUCAACCGCCGAGGAGACCACCCGACCUAUCUCUCUCGAAAGGCACCAAUCGAUUCCUCUAGCCCUACCUCUCUCCUAAUCUGGGCAUCGACGAUCGACAUAGCAGAUAACACUCAACAUCGCCCACCCCCUCUCUUCCCAUCUCGCGGGAAGCAGAGGAGACCGGCCUCUUCCAGAUCGGCCCCGGGGUCACCGACGCGGACGACCGAGGGACUCGGCGCUGCCGGUCGGAGCUACAUCGCCCACGAUGUCGAGUAGGGCAUGUGCAAGAGCUCUUGGCCUUCUGGGGCUGCCGCCGCAUGACUUGUAUCGUCAGGCCGUCAUGGUGUCGGUCCAGCCGCCGGCUACACAAGGGUCUUCAGGUCGGCAGCGGCAACUUGGGACUUGGAGAGUAGCUUUUUGUGGUAGGGCAUGCACAAGAGGCGUGACCUGCUGGUAGCUGUCCAGGAUUCGUCUACACGGGCCACUAAAGCAGGGAAUUCAGGCCAGGGGAUCAAUUUGUAAUCAUGGUUAAACAAAUUAUAAUCAUGAUCUUAACAGGCUAACUGAAUUCGAUUGGGCCAUCAUCACAAGCAUGUCCACAACUAGACCUCAAUGGCUCCAACAGUAUGGACCUGUAGGUAUUUGAUGUUUUGAUCUACCAGUUUAUGCAUUCAGGUAUAACUUAGGCUAAGCAAUACUACUUUCAUUGGGUUUUCAGUACUUGUAUUUAAUGUGCGUACAGAGAUUCCGAAAUAGCUAUUUCCAUAUUUGAUUGUUCUGAA
This is a non-coding RNA of Triticum urartu, 826 nucleotides long. NCBI's taxonomy places the organism in Eukaryota, Viridiplantae, Streptophyta, Magnoliopsida, Poales, Poaceae. The record is from RefSeq and is a predicted model, not a curated record.